UUGGCCACGUCCAUCAACUCCCCUUGUGUUCGCCGUGGGCGCUUGGGUGAAUGAACUAUAAGGUUAGGGUAUGUGCCUUUCCUAACAGCAAUUGCUUUUAGGAGAGUUGGUAGCGCCUGAGGUCCUACAAGUGGUAUCAGAGCCGAGGUCACGGGUUCGAACCCCAGGGGUGUCGCUGGGGGGGAGAUUGUUGACAGAUCAGAGGGUUGGCCGCGUCC
Molecule: long non-coding RNA, 218 nt
Filed under: Vitis vinifera (wine grape)
Lineage: Eukaryota; Viridiplantae; Streptophyta; Magnoliopsida; Vitales; Vitaceae
Description: long non-coding RNA (VVIN_LNC002869)
Source: RNAcentral